UACGAGGGGUGCAAGCGUUGUUCGGAAUUACUGGGCGUAAAGCGUACGUAGGUGGCUAUGUGUGUUUGGUGUGAAAGCCCUCGGCUCAACCGGGGAACUGCGCUGAAAACUACAUAGCUAGAGAUCGAGAGAGGUAAGCGGAAUUCUAAGUGUAGAGGUGAAAUUCGUAGAUACUUGGAGGAACACCAGAGGCGAAGGCGGCUUACUGGCUCGAUACUGACACUGAGGUACGAAAGCGUGGGUAGCAAACAGG
This 253-nucleotide ribosomal RNA is filed under the name uncultured bacterium. Its description in RNAcentral is "partial 16S ribosomal RNA". It matches the Rfam family "Bacterial small subunit ribosomal RNA", at positions 524 to 776 of the family's 1533-position model. The record is from RNAcentral.